Molecule: ribosomal RNA, 245 nt
Filed under: uncultured bacterium
Lineage: Bacteria
Description: partial 16S ribosomal RNA
Rfam family: Bacterial small subunit ribosomal RNA
Source: RNAcentral
UACGAAGGGAGCUAGCGUUGUUCGGAAUUACUGGGCGUAAAGGGCGUGUAGGCGGUCCAACAAGUCAGGUGUGAAAGCCCUGGGCUCAACCCGGGAAUUGCGCUUGAUACUGUUGGUCUUGAAUUCGGGAGAGGUGAGUGGAAUUCCCAGUGUAGAGGUGAAAUUCGUAGAGAUUGGGAAGAACACCCGUGGCGAAGGCGGCUCACUGGACCGACAUUGACGCUGAGACGCGAAAGCGUGGGGAG